This 444-nucleotide ribosomal RNA is filed under the name uncultured prokaryote. RNAcentral's name for it is "bacterial SSU rRNA". It matches the Rfam family "Bacterial small subunit ribosomal RNA", at positions 355 to 796 of the family's 1533-position model. The record is from RNAcentral.
UUUCGAAUCAUUCACAAUGGGGGCAACCCUGAUGGUGCAACGCCGCGUGGGGGAUGACGGUUCUCGAAUUGUAAACCCCUGUCACCAGGGACUAACCGGUGGGUUCAUAGCCUGCCCUGAAUUAACCUGGAGAGGAAGCAGUGGCUAACUCCGUGCCAGCAGCCGCGGUAAUACGGAGACUGCAAGCGUUACUCGGAUUCACUGGGCGUAAAGCGUGCGUAGGCGGAUAGGUAUGUCAGGUGUGAAAUCCCGGGGCUUAACCCCGGAACUGCGCUUGAAACUACCUAUCUCGAGUUUCGGAGAGGUAAGCGGAAUUUCUGGUGUAGCGGUGAAAUGCGUAGAUAUCAGAAGGAACACCCAAGGCGAAGGCAGCUUACUGGACGGAUACUGACGCUGAGGUACGAAAGCGUGGGGAGCGAAAGGGAUUAGAUACCCCCGUAGUCC